CGUUGCACAAACUUCAGUGACAACGCGAGGACGAGGUGGUGAGGUACUUUAUACAAUACAAUACUGGCUUAUACAUUUAGAGCCAGAAUUCCUCUUAAAAAAACAAUACUCCAGGUAUACCUUGGAUAUGGGAAAUACGAGCAUCUAGGGAAUCAUUAACAGUAAGAGUUAACAUGAUGUUUCUGGUAACUGAUUAUGUUAUGCGAG
This 207-nucleotide long non-coding RNA is filed under the name Pelobates cultripes (western spadefoot toad). The record is from RNAcentral. Lineage: Eukaryota; Metazoa; Chordata; Amphibia; Anura; Pelobatidae.